CGCAUCUGUGCAUGCAGCAUAUCAAUAAGCGGAGGAAAAGAAACUAACAAGGAUUCCCUUAGUAACGGCGAGUGAAGCGGGAAGAGCUCAAAUUUGAAAUCUUCAAGGUUUUACCUUGACGAAUUGUAGUUUAAAGAAGUGUUUUCUGUUGAAGUUUUGGUAAAAGUUCUUUGGAAUAGGACAUCAUAGAGGGUGAGAAUCCCGUAUUUGACCAUUAUUUUCAGCUGUGUGAUACACUUUCAAAGAGUCGGAUUGUUUGGGAAUGCAGUCCAAAAUGGGUGGUAAAUUUCAUCUAAAGCUAAAUAUUGGCGAGAGACCGAUAGCGAACAAGUACCGUGAGGGAAAGAUGAAAAGAACUUUGAAAAAGAGAGUUAAACAGUACGUGAAAUUGUCAAAAGGGAAGCGUUUGACACCAGUGUUGUUUUCUCGAAAAUCAAUUAAAAAGAGUUAGAUUUUGUUGUGUAUUGACCUUAACAGCUUGCAUUUCAAUUUUCUUGCUUUUUUUAAUGCACUUUUCGUUUAACAAGUCAACAUCAGUUUCUUUUGUUGUAAAAAGGUCAUUGGAAGGUGGCUUUCUUUUCGGAGAAAGUGUUUAUAGCCUUUGACUCCUGCAAUCGGAGAGACUGAGGUCUGCAGCGUAGAUCCUUCGGGGUUAGAUACAUUUGUGCUAAGUUAUAGCUUUUUAUAGACAACUUGUUGACUAUGAUUAGUCUUGUAGCUUACUCGCUUAUGCUAUUUUACCUACGCUUAGGAUGUUGACGCGCGUGUGUGCGUG
This 775-nucleotide ribosomal RNA is filed under the name uncultured Neocallimastigales. Its description in RNAcentral is "partial large subunit ribosomal RNA". It matches the Rfam family "Eukaryotic large subunit ribosomal RNA", at positions 26 to 639 of the family's 3401-position model. Lineage: Eukaryota; Fungi; Neocallimastigomycota; Neocallimastigomycetes; Neocallimastigales. The record is from RNAcentral.